UCUCCGUUGGUGAACCAGCGGAGGGAUCAUUACAGGGUUGCAAAACUCCCAAACCAUUGUGAACGUUACCUAUCCCGUUGCUUCGGCGGGCGGCCCGGGCCCCGCGCCCGGCGCCCCCCGGCCCCCCGUGGGCGCCCGCCGGAGGUAAACCAAACCCUUGAAUUGCAUGGCCUCUCUGAGUCUUCUGUACUGAAUAAGUCAAAACUUUCAACAACGGAUCUCUUGGUUCUG
Molecule: unclassified non-coding RNA, 231 nt
Filed under: plant metagenome
Description: partial contains small subunit ribosomal RNA, internal transcribed spacer 1, and 5.8S ribosomal RNA
Source: RNAcentral